UGGCACGGGAGACCUUCCUA
RNAcentral lists this non-coding RNA (20 nucleotides) under Arabidopsis thaliana (thale cress). The record is from RNAcentral. Lineage: Eukaryota; Viridiplantae; Streptophyta; Magnoliopsida; Brassicales; Brassicaceae.